Molecule: long non-coding RNA, 1188 nt
Filed under: Brassica napus (rape)
Lineage: Eukaryota; Viridiplantae; Streptophyta; Magnoliopsida; Brassicales; Brassicaceae
Description: long non-coding RNA (BNAP_LNC009459)
Source: RNAcentral
GUCUAGGGGAUCUUUGGCCAUAUAGGCCGAUCUCCUAGUUGUGAUGUUNNNNNNNNNNNNGAUAUUAUUGUUUAGUUAUUAGUACUCAGGGUCUUAGGCCAUAUAGGCCGGACUACUGGUACUAUUGGUUUGUGUUGUAGAGUCGAGUGUCUUGUUAGUGUCUAGAACUUUAUCAUUACGUUAGGUUCUAGAUUGAGUUUGUGUUGUGUGAGUGGUGCCAAUAGUAUGUGCGUAACCCGCCCAUACUAGGCUUGUGUUGGGGUGAUUAGUGUUUCCUCGUCCUCGUACCCAGCGGGUUCAAGGAAACCUCUUAUUCGCUGGAUCGGGAAGACUCAGACGAACGGGGUCAUGUCCUAUGGCUGAGUAUUAUACGACGGUGUAAUGCGGCAGUGACCCGAAGGACUGUGGGCUGUCGCGCGGUGACCCGAAGGACUGUGGGCCGCGGUCGGUUGAAAGUUCCUUCUUCUGGCCUCUGUGGUAGGAAGAUAGGAUAUUGCCGAUAGAGAGGAUGAACACAAAGUCACCAGGGCCCAGGUUAGAGUGUUGUGUUAGUGUGUCGUAGAGGGUUAUGGAACCCUCGAGUUAAUGUAGCACCGAUAUACGGUGUUACGAGUAAGAUCGAGUCAUUAGUAGUUAUUAUCUUAUUAUUGUUGUGGUUGUGGUUGUUGAUUGCUUUGCUUGCAGGUUCUGACAUUAAGUCCUAAGUCUGGUUUAGGUACCAGACUAGGCUUGGUGUGUAUUUGGUUAGUGUAGGCCUGACGUUGGCCUGUAUGUGUUUGAAGGAUUGCUUGUGAAGGGUGGUGGAUAUUAAAGCUAUGCGGUAUCAUUGGUUGGCCGAUCAUGUUCUUGUUUGAUUGUUGGUCGACCGGCUCAUGAUACUUGUAUAGUCUAAGUGUCUAACACUACAUGAGUAUUGAACUCAAGCAUAUAUAUGGUUAACUAGGGAUUGGUUGUUGACUUGUUUUAAUGCAGGUUCCCGUUACUUGAAGCUAGAUUAUGGCAGGAGGCCAAGUCUACCUUAGUAACGGUUUGCUUAGCCUUAGAUUUUAUUGCAUGCUAGGGCUAGAUUAUUGUUAUUUUGGGUUGUCUGGGUUAGAGUCUAGCUUGCGGAUAGAGGCCGCCAGCUCACUGAGUAAUACUAGAUUACUCAUCCAACUCCAUUGUCUUUUUUGCAGGUCGCUUUAGGUA